GCGAUGUUUAGCCUGUGGUAGACGCACCAGGUUUAGGUCCUGACGGUGGCAACACCGUGCCGGUUCGAGUCCGGCUCCGCGCACCA
RNAcentral lists this transfer RNA (86 nucleotides) under Comamonas testosteroni. Its description in RNAcentral is "tRNA-Leu(tag)". RNAcentral also lists the same sequence under 1 other name. The record is from RNAcentral. Lineage: Bacteria; Pseudomonadati; Pseudomonadota; Betaproteobacteria; Burkholderiales; Comamonadaceae.